This is a long non-coding RNA of Callithrix jacchus (white-tufted-ear marmoset), 1703 nucleotides long. The record is from Ensembl. NCBI's taxonomy places the organism in Eukaryota, Metazoa, Chordata, Mammalia, Primates, Cebidae.
AAAGUGGUGUUUUAGCUUAGAUUACUGUACCGGGGUAUUGCCACUGUGAUUAAAAAGUUUUCACUAAUGUAAAUUCACAUUUCUUUCUCUCCCUUUAGUUCUGUCACCCCUCUGAAGACCUGGUUCUUAGCUGCAGCUGCAACUCUAUCCCUGGACUCAUCUUUGAAACUACCCAGAGACAGACAGUCAAUAGCUUUAGAACUUUACAACAAGAUCUUCCAAGUGCCCUGAGACUUCGUGAUGGAGCCAACAGAAAUAAAUCAUACAGGACAAAGCCAGACCCUGGUGUGAGGGAUGCUUAUAAAACAGCAUAAACAAGAAGUCAUAUGAAAAAGAUUGUAUGGAAGGAAGAAGAGAUAAUGGAAAUUAAUUCAUAAGAGCCCCAACUAAAACACUUAUAGUAAAAUGUCAUUAGGACUGCUUGAUGUUGGUGAAAGGCUCAAGACCCAGGGCAGAAGGCCUGUUUGCUAGUUGGAGAAGGGAGAUAACAAGAGUCUAUUCUCCCACUUCUAAUUUCAUCCAACAGUGGUUGCUGAAGCUCUGAUGAGCAGGUGUGCCAGGGUUUAUUAAUCACAAGAAGACAUGAUGCUCUGACAGCUUAUGUCAACUUGCAGCAGGUAAGUUGCUGCCCUGUAAGCUGAAGCUACACAGGACUUUGUUCUUUCCCAAGUGGAAAGCAUAUAAGCAACUUCGAUUCAAGCGACCAUAAGCAACUUGUGAGUUUGGGUAUCAUUGCCUUGGUUAACAUAUCUUUUUUAUAUGCUGACCCCGAUGGUUGUGACUUAAGUGGCUAGUCAUUGUCCUCUUGCUGCAAAUUUGGAUUCCAAAUCUUCUUAUGUCCUACUAUUUCUGAUUCUAUGAAGUUCUAGAUGCUUUGAUUUCUUCCUUGCUUCUCUGGAUUUGUGUGCUCUAUAUAUUUAUGCCAUACUUCCUCAGUCUUAUCUAAAGCAUGCUGUCAACAUACCCACAUAUAUUUGACCUCUCCCUUAACAUUCAGGUACUGCCUGAGCCGACCACCACCCACCUACCAACUAUAAUAGAGGCUCAAACUCAAUGGUAGUAAGGAUUGGCAAUAUGAAUGCCAGUUGUUAGUCACAAUUUCCUCUGGGUGACUAAAUUUUUAUUUCACAUUGUCCAUGGGAAUAUUUAGUCUUAAUUUCUUUUAACGUAUAAUUUUAGAGCAAAAGAAAUCUAUUACCUCUAAAAGAAAUUAUCUGCAGAAGUUAUGAUGUGAGUUGAGAAAGGUUUGAUCCCUAGGGGAACUUUCAAAGUUACUUUACUAAGACUGCAAAUGUAAAAUACAAAAAGUCACGAAACCCGGAAGUUUGAUUCGGUACAGUAAUGUCAAAUGGGGUUCAAUGGGGUAUAUAUUAGAUUGUAUGACUACUUAAAUCCUAAAAUGUUUCUGGACAUACCUACAUGCCGUGCAGGAUAUUACCUUGUAACUCAAAACCUCACUCUUACCUAACUUUUCUCUAUGUCCAUCGUGUCUAGCUUUUUCUGUAGUUUCUGGCUUUCCUAGCAUCCUUUUUUCUAAGUGUUUUGCUCCAAAUUAAAUACCAGAUGCAAUAUUUAUUCAGUAUUUGAUAUGUCACAUUAAAAAAUCAUAAGAUUUGGGAACUAUAAAGUUCUCAAAGUGUGCUCAUGUCUAUUUGAUUCUCAAAUAAUUUCUUUUUUUUUUUUUUUAAAUUUUUUAUUUGAUU